Molecule: ribosomal RNA, 253 nt
Filed under: uncultured bacterium
Lineage: Bacteria
Description: partial 16S ribosomal RNA
Rfam family: Bacterial small subunit ribosomal RNA
Source: RNAcentral
UACGUAGGGGGCUAGCGUUGUCCGGAAUCAUUGGGCGUAAAGCGCGUGUAGGCGGCCCGAUAAGUCCGCUGUGAAAGUCCAGGGCUCAACCCUGGGAUGCCGGUGGAUACUGUCGGGCUCGAGUCCGGAAGAGGCGAGUGGAAUUCCUGGUGUAGUGGUGAAAUGCGUAGAGAUCCGGAGGAACACCAGUAGCGAAGGCGACACGCUGGGCCGUACCUGACACUAAAACGCGACAGCAUGGGGAGCGAACGGG